UUUAUGUAUCAAGUUGACAAGGGGUUAAUUUUGCUGGUCAAUUUUUUUGUCACCUUAACACAAGCUUGGAUUAGCUGGGGGCGGGGGAAGGGGAUAUCAAUUGAGAAAAUUCCUCCAUUAGAAUGGGCUGUAGGCCUGCCUGCCAGGGUACUUUCUCGAUUGUUAAUAAAUGGGAUGGCGGCGGGGUAGACUAGCAUAUUGGGUAAGGUUUUACCCCAGGGCUGCUGAUCAUGGAAAGUAUAAGAAAGGACACUGAGAAGAAAGUCACGUGCAGGGAGAUUGAAAGCAGCAUUCUGCCAGGGCCUCCUUUCUCCUGAGUUCCUGCCUCACUGUUCCUGCCCUCAGUUCCCUUAGUGAUGGAGUGUGAUUAAGACAUGUAAGCAAAUGAGCCCUUUCCUGCCCCAACUUGUAUUUGGUCCUGGUGUUUUAUCUGCCCUAUAGAAAGCAAACUAAGUCAAGGAAGGUUCAGGAAAUGACAACAAAUAUUUUCAAAAGGAGGGAAAGAGGAGGAGGAGGAAGAGAAGGAAAUAGAGAUUCCAGAGUGGCCACAGCAGCAAUGGGGGAGAAAGAAAAUGUGUUAGAUGAAAGAGGUCACAUCUUGCUAAGCGAAUAGGGCUGACGCCAGAGCACAAAUCCGCGGGUCCGGUUGUGUGCAGGUUGUGGAGCAGCGGGGAUGUGGGAGUGCAGAUGUCUUUGGUUGGGUGUUCUCUGUGAGCCCACACAGUGAGGCCUGAAGUUGAUGUCAAAAUCAUCACCAGGCAGAAGAGAGAGAGAGUGCAGAGCAGCCAGAGAAAAGUGUGGCUCUGUGCCUGUGAACGUCUGUGCAGAAUUGAAACUUUCAGUUCAGUUCAUUGAAAUUCAAGGCGUUUCAGAGAAUUUCAGGGCAGGUAAAUUGAUAAGGUUGGACGCUGAGAAUUAAAUCUGAAUUAAAGUUUUAUCAGUGAGGAAUAGAUUCUUUUUUGUUUGUUUGUUUUCGUUUUUUGUUUUGUUUAACAUAGCGUUUUUUUGUACUUAGCGGUAGUCAGUGUGCCCCGCUAUGGUAUCAGAUAAAAAAAGAAAAGGUGAACUGUGAACCAGCUCUCUCAGGGCCUUAGCCUUUAAAGGCUGAGCCAUCCCUCCGGCCCCGCCCCGCUUCCUAUUCUUUCUCUUAAGUAGCGACCUGGGCGUUGCGCAACCACUUCUCUGUUGAGUGCAUUCUUGUUCUCAAUACUAAACAACUCUCAUUUGUUUUCCUUGUGCACAAAACCAAACACUCGAGGAGAAAAGAAAAAAACCCGAACUCUUUGCAGCGAGCAUUUUGCUCUGAACAGUGGCUAAUGACUCAUUGUGGUGCAGGGCUAGAGAAAAGAAACCUAAGGGGCACGAGAGAGCUGAGCAGGCGGGUUGUAGAGAUGAGAGAGAACCUGUAGGGAAGAGAAGGGUGUGGAGUGCGGCGUGGGCAGGCGUGAGGGUCGGGCGUGUGCGUGGAUAAAGGUUUGUAAGCAGCAGUGUGGAGCGGGAGCUGGUGGGGCUGAAGAAGGCGAUCCGGUUGGGGUGCGGGUAGCCGAUCAGAUUUCAGGGGGAAGAAACAUAAGAAGAGGCCUUGUGGAGGUUGAAAGUUUGUUUGGGGGCGCAGUAUAACCGUGGAUUUGUGGUUUUGUUGAAAAUGGGAGAGAAAAAAAGCGUGUAGACCAGGCUGUCCUCGAACUCCAGAUCCUCCUGCCUCUGCCUCCUUCAGCAAAUCCUACCGGCCUGCGCCACCAGAACCGGCGGUAGAGAGCUUGAAAAUCGUUCUAUUGAAGCGUCUUCUUAGUGACGCACGCUAACUGGUAUUUAGCGGAAGGAUCUCUGUAACCGUGGAGCCAAUAGCACUCCGUCUGUCCCACGCUCUCCACCGGCUUUACACAAACUCUCCGCUGAGCUCUCGCACUCUUCGGGCCUCACGCCCGCCGCCCUCACCGAACCACACCCGCAACAAUCCCGGAAGGUCUUUCCCGCCCCACGUCCCCCGCGGGCCACGCCGGGUAACACAGUCCCGGCACCGCAAGGCGACUGCGCGCUCAGCCCGGAAGAUCCGUGACUGCAAGGAGGCUGCACACGGAGGCCACCCUCCUCAGGGAUGACUGACACGUCUCAAAACUCAAUCCUCCCGCAUCCUGCUGGGAGCACUUGGAAGCUUGCCCCUGGUUUUUGUCCACGUGCGGGACUCCAGGAAAGAUCGGACCAGCGUGUGAAGAAAACUCGACAUGAAAAUAAAAUAGUGCGUGGACAUCUCUGAUUCUUGCCCACUGGUCCCCCGAUCACCAGAACGUUCACCUUCAGUCGUAGACAACCCCUUCAAGGUGCCCACCAGCUCGGGAGGACCGCCUCACCCUCAGCUUUAACAGUCCUUGCCCAGGGUGCGUUCCCCUGGAUAGCCACCCAUCUGUACAUGGCUGUAGCAAAAUGUUAAAGAAUGUUAGCAAGUUUCCUUCCACCCAAGGGUAGAGAGUGUGGACAAAAAUCCAGUUCUUGUAUUGUUUCAUAGCCAGCCCAAGGUUCUCAGUUAACACUUGCCAUCGCUGAUUUGUUACCUAAAGGGGGGUAGGAGGGGAUGUAUUAAGCAUACAUUCUGAAAAAUUAACCAUGUAUCGUUCUGAAUUUCGGCAAUGCUUUGUGAAAGCAUUAAAAUGCUAGUGCUGUUCAAAAAUGGA
Molecule: long non-coding RNA, 2672 nt
Organism: Mus musculus (house mouse)
Lineage: Eukaryota; Metazoa; Chordata; Mammalia; Rodentia; Muridae
Product: predicted gene, 44066
Exons: 2
Source: RefSeq, a predicted model, not a curated record